AUUGAACGCUGGCGGCAGGCCUAACACAUGCAAGUCGAACGGUAACAGGAAGCAGCUUGCUGCUUUGCUGACGAGUGGCGGACGGGUGAGUAAUGUCUGGGAAACUGCCUGAUGGAGGGGGAUAACUACUGGAAACGGUAGCUAAUACCGCAUAAUGUCGCAAGACCAAAGAGGGGGACCUUAGGGCCUCUUGCCAUCGGAUGUGCCCAGAUGGGAUUAGCUAGUAGGUGGGGUAACGGCUCACCUCGGCGACGAUCCCUAGCUGGUCUGAGAGGAUGACCAGCCACACUGGAACUGAGACACGGUCCAGACUCCUACGGGAGGCAGCAGUGGGGAAUAUUGCACAAUGGGCGCAAGCCUGAUGCAGCCAUGCCGCGUGUAUGAAGAAGGCCUUCGGGUUGUAAAGUACUUUCAGCGGGGAGGAAGGGAGUAAAGUUAAUACCUUUGCUCAUUGACGUUACCCGCAGAAGAAGCACCGGCUAACUCCGUG
Molecule: ribosomal RNA, 490 nt
Filed under: uncultured bacterium
Lineage: Bacteria
Description: partial 16S ribosomal RNA
Rfam family: Bacterial small subunit ribosomal RNA
Source: RNAcentral